GAUGAACGCUGGCGGCGUGCCUAAUACAUGCAAGUCGAGCGAACAGACGAGGAGCUUGCUCCUCUGACGUUAGCGGCGGACGGGUGAGUAACACGUGGAUAACCUACCUAUAAGACUGGGAUAACUUCGGGAAACCGGAGCUAAUACCGGAUAAUAUAUUGAACCGCAUGGUUCAAUAGUGAAAGACGGUUUUGCUGUCACUUAUAGAUGGAUCCGCGCCGCAUUAGCUAGUUGGUAAGGUAACGGCUUACCAAGGCAACGAUGCGUAGCCGACCUGAGAGGGUGAUCGGCCACACUGGAACUGAGACACGGUCCAGACUCCUACGGGAGGCAGCAGUAGGGAAUCUUCCGCAAUGGGCGAAAGCCUGACGGAGCAACGCCGCGUGAGUGAUUAAGGUCUUCGGAUCGUAAAACUCUGUUAUUAGGGAAGAACAAAUGUGUAAGUAACUAUGCACGUCUUGACGGUACCUAAUCAGAAAGCCACGGCUAACUACGUG
This 497-nucleotide ribosomal RNA is filed under the name uncultured bacterium. RNAcentral describes it as "partial 16S ribosomal RNA". It matches the Rfam family "Bacterial small subunit ribosomal RNA", at positions 28 to 507 of the family's 1533-position model. The record is from RNAcentral.